UGUAUUUAUUAGAUUAAAAACCAAUGCCCUUCGGGGCUUCCUGGUGAUUCAUGAUAACUUCUCGAAUCGCACGGCCUUGCGCCGGCGAUGGUUCAUUCAAAUUUCUGCCCUAUCAACUUUCGACGGCUGGGUCUUGGCCAGCCAUGGUGACAACGGGUAACGGAGGGUUAGGGCUCGACCCCGGAGAAGGAGCCUGAGAAACGGCUACUACAUCCAAGGAAGGCAGCAGGCGCGCAAAUUACCCAAUCCCGACACGGGGAGGUAGUGACAAUAAAUACUGAUACAGGGCUCUUUUGGGUCUUGUAAUUGGAAUGAGUACAAUUUAAAUCCCUUAACGAGGAACAAUUGGAGGGCAAGUCUGGUGCCAGCAGCCGCGGUAAUUCCAGCUCCAAUAGCGUAUAUUAAAGUUGUUGAGGUUAAAAAGCUCGUAGUUGAACCUUGGGCCUAGCCGGUCGGUCCGCCUCACCGCGUGCACUGACUCGGUUGGGCCUUUCCUUCUGGAGAACCGCAUGCCCUUCACUGGGUGUGUCGGGGAACCAGG
Molecule: ribosomal RNA, 541 nt
Filed under: uncultured eukaryote
Lineage: Eukaryota
Description: SSU rRNA
Rfam family: Eukaryotic small subunit ribosomal RNA
Source: RNAcentral